RNAcentral lists this long non-coding RNA (3810 nucleotides) under Taeniopygia guttata (zebra finch). RNAcentral describes it as "lncRNA (ENSTGUG00000019961.1)". Lineage: Eukaryota; Metazoa; Chordata; Aves; Passeriformes; Estrildidae. The record is from RNAcentral.
UUUUUUUUUUUUUUUUGUCACAUCUUGGCACUUUGAACUACCUCAAUAAGAUUGUAUGUCUGUGGUUAUUGCCAUUUAAAUACUUGAUAAUUUUUAUAAUUUUUAAAUUUAGUUUCUAAGACAUAUAGUAAGUGUAGUAUGGAAUUGCCAUAUAAUUAGUACUGUGCUUCUAAAUUAGACAAUUAAUAAUUGAUAUUUCAGGUUAUAUCCAGGUGUUAUUCUGAGAUGAAAUUGUGAGAUUUCAAUGUAUUUUUUCACCCAGAUCAUUAAAAAUCUGCUGGAGGAUUUUGUUCCGAGUCUGUUUUGGUUUUAUGCAGAACAUAUUAAAAACUGAAAAAAACUCCAUGCUCCCAAAGUCUCAACUUAAUCUCUGUAGUUCCACUCAUGAAGCGGCUGAAAUUCUACACUGUUAUAAUUUUGUGAAAAAGCAAGAAAUCAAAUCUAUCUGUAAUUUUAUUUUAUAAAGAAAGUACUAUUACAGUUUCUCUGAAAAUGUGCUUGUGGGUAUAUUUGAAAUGCGCUGGGAAUAUGAAUGCUUGAUGGCAUUAAGUGCAGACAAUGAAUCAUGGUGAUCAGAUAUUCUCUGUUAACAAACCAUAUCUUUUAAAAAGACUAAUUUUUGUAACUCAAAACAUCAGUCCCUUUUGUUUCAGAUUUUAAUGAAACAAUUCAGUUUUGGCACACAGCUGUAAUGGACAAAUGUCAGAGGAUGGAAGCAAGGGGCAGUGUGUUUCAGUAAAUCUAAAUAGAUUAAUUAUAUUCAAAUUCAAUUUUAAUGUCAUUCCUGUUGUUUUCAAGUCUAGCCAGAGUCCUUUAGAGAUGUUUGUUGGUGUUUUUUUCAGCACAGGCUGGGAAGAUGAGUGUGUCCCAGUUUGCUUGAUACCUGCUGCUGUCCUGUGCUGUUGCAGUUAGGUCAGCUGGACUUCACAGUUCUUUUGACUCCUGCUGUUUUUCAGUGCUAAUUUUAAGCAGUUUAUUAACUGAGGGUGAAUGUCUCAUGGCUCAAUGUAUUCCUGUGAGCCUUUGAUAAUUGGAAUAAUCACUUAUUUCCACUUGCACUCAUCUAAGCUACUUAAGUAGAUAGUACAGUAGGUUGAGGCAAUGAAUGAUUUCUUCUUUCCAGCCGUAUGUCGGUCACGCAAAAUAACUGCAAAUCAGAGCUAGACAGUGUGCCAAUUAGUACUUCCAAAAUGUGUCUCUCCCACAGAAGUUAUUUAUGCACACUGCUAAUUAGCCACUGAGGUUUUUUGUUCACUGGAGGAGAAAGGAUCCACAUGCAUGGCACUGCAGGAAUCCUGAAGCAUGGGCAAGGAUAUCUGUGUCCAAGGCCCCAGGCCUCCUGCUUCUCAGCAGGACAUUCUGACUUUCAGUAAUAAUUUACAUUUUAAGAUAAAAUACUGCCCCAGGUGUUUGUGGCUUGUAAUUUCAGACCUUACAUGAAGAAGGGCACGAGGGACUUUAGGCAGGAUCAAUAUGAAUAAAAGUCCAGGAAAAUGUACUGCCUUCUCCCACUUUCAUCACUCAGAAUUUUCUUAUAGUGCUGAGGAGCCUUGGAAAAUGUCUAUAUUUAGAACUUUCCAAAAUAGCAAUUGACUCUUACUUUUGUUUCUUUUGUUUCAUUUCUUAAGUAUAAUUUAUUUAUUUUUUUGUUUCAGAUACUUCACCCAGGAAAACAUGUGCUUCUUCUAUCUUGUCUAACCAAGCCUUCUCAUUUUCACCACUUACACAUAAACACCCCAUAUAGAAAUAAUGUAACGGAGACAUAUCUCUGCUCAGAGGUAUAGCACUUGUUUCAAAUAAACAGCAAGUUGGUGAGAAAUGGGUGAGAGAUGUAACAGUACAAUGCAGUCAACCAUAACUGGGGAAAAAUAUAGAGGCUAAUUGAGGAGUAAGACAGAGAGCAACCGUGUUGGAGAAGUUGUUGUAAUCAAGCUGACCUGCGUAGGAUGUGAGGACGUUGAAAGCAUGAGGAGCAAAAGGAAAGUUGUUAUUGAAUCAGUUAUAGGUAAUUUAAUGAUUAUUUUAGGUAGACCUAAGAUUUCAACCUGUUAUUGAACUUCUGCUCCCUUUCCCCUUCCAGUUAUUCUCUCCUUUUUUGCAUGUGACUGUGGUGUCAGUCUCACCUUAAACAUGUUUUUUUUGUUUUAGUUAGUUGCUGCUCUUUGUGAUGUCAGUUUAGGAGCAAUGUCUACCGAGUGCCCUCACCUCAAAGAUCUUCAGUUAUGCUCUAUACUACUUGUGUUCUUUCUGAGCCCAUAAAUCUCCCCUUCUACAGUGACCCAGCAUCAUUAGGAUGAGCAGUAAGUACUCUGCUCAUCCUUCUGCUCUCCGUGGUCCUCUGCCAUUGCAGGGGCCUCUUGGAAGGACCUUAGAGGUAAAUUACUUUGGCCAUGCAACUGAGGAGGGGAUGAAAACAAUAUUGUUUAAAAAAAAAUACCCCCUAAGUGCCUGCCUUCCCCUUCUGCUUCUGUUUUGCGCCAAGAGUGAGAGGCUUCUACCUUUCUCUCCAAGAUCUGAUGCCAUGCCCUGGGGUGCCCUAAUAGGUGCAAAUGUUACAGUCCUGAGUCAGCAGCAUAAAGAUAAUAUGUGUAUUUAUAUACUAAUAUAGGAAGCUACAGCUUUAUGGAAACUUCAUAGUAUGUUUAAGGGAUAAUGAUUUAUUAGCCACUGUCAGGAAAAUCUCUAUAAGCAGGAUGGAAAAAUUGCAGGAGUUAUGAAGUAGAUGAGGCAAUAGAGGAGAAAAAGAAAGCACUCAAUCUCACAAGUGCAUAUUUUAUUCCAAAUGUUGGAGGCAGAGAAAUUAUGGUCAGGAUAAAUUAAAGCAUUCACAUAAUAGAGUGAAACUCAGAAUGUAAUCUAAACUUUAUUGAAUGAACAAAACCAAGAAAUUCACAUUUCUACUCCUAGGAGAAGAAGUAUUGCAUUUAAAUAGCUGUACAAGUUAACUUUGAAAAGCCUACAGUUUAAUAUCUGAUUGUUUGCAGUAAUGCUCCUCUGCAUUCACUGACCAAUGUGGAAAAUUUUAAAUAUGAAUUAUUAUUUGUAUGAAACCUUUUAAGAGAAGAUGUAAGUAAAGGUAAACGAUAGUCACUCAUUUAUCACUGGCCAUAGUAGAAAGUGGCAGCCAGAAGCUUAUUCAUUUUGAUAUUAAAAAAAUGCUGUCACACUGUCAAAUAUGCCAAAGCAAUGCUUUCUGGAUAAUUUUUCAUGUCUGUUUUCCUCUUCACAGAAACAGCACAAAUUGAACAGGUUAACUUUUAAAUAAAUUUCAAGUUUCAUGGAACUGCAAUUAUGUGGUAAAAGCUGUAGCUUUAUCAGACAGUCAGCAGUAGAGAAUGCAAUAGAAAUGGCUAGCUGUUUCAAAUAGUCAACAUUUUUUAGGCUGUCCAGUCAGCCACGUUCUUAAGAAAAUCUCCUGAGCUCUUAAAAGAGCAGUGAAAAUAUUAUUUUAUUAUUUUUAUGUGAAGCAAAAUAUGCUGAGAUACUAACAAAUUUGUAAUAUGCAAUAACUACAAUAGGCUAUUUAUUAGAAAAAUAGUUAAGAAUUGCUUUUGCUGUGAAGGAAAUGCAUUAUACACAGCAGUGGUGCUGAAGCUGUACGCUUCUCAAAUUAGGUUUACACUUUCAGAUUAGAAAAAUGAAUAGAAAAUGUGUUGGGAUAUGUGGCAUUUUCCUUGGGAGCUUUAUGGCUUAUUUGCAUAAACUACAAAAUAAUCAAACAAACCUGAGGCUGGCUUUUAAAAUACUCACCAAAAAUAAUAUACUCUAUUCUUGUGUAAUUUUAACGAAAACUUUAAUUGACCUCACAGU